Molecule: ribosomal RNA, 478 nt
Filed under: uncultured bacterium
Lineage: Bacteria
Description: partial 16S ribosomal RNA
Rfam family: Bacterial small subunit ribosomal RNA
Source: RNAcentral
GAUGAACGCUAGCGGCAGGCCUAACACAUGCAAGUCGAGGGAGAAGCCCUUUCGGGGGCAGAAACCGGCGCACGGGUGCGUAACGCGUAUGCAACCUACCUUUCACAGGGGGAUAGCCCGAAGAAAUUUGGAUUAAUACCCCAUAAUAUUAUUGGAUGGCAUCAUUUGAUAAUUAAAACUGCGGUGGUGAAAGAUGGGCAUGCGUCCUAUUAGCUAGUUGGAGUGGUAACGGCACCCCAAGGCUACGAUAAGUAGGGGUCCUGAGAGGGAGAUCCCCCACACUGGUACUGAGACAGGGACCAGACUCCUACGGGAGGCAGCAGUGAGGAAUAUUGGUCAAUGGUCGGAAGACUGAACCAGCCAUGCCGCGUGCAGGAAGAAUGCCUUAUGGGUUGUAAACUGCUUUUAUAUGGGAAGAAUAAGGCGUACGUGUACGUUGAUGACGGUACCAUAUGAAUAAGCAUCGGCUAACUCCGUG